UACGAAGGGGGCUAGCGUUGCUCGGAAUCACUGGGCGUAAAGCGCACGUAGGCGGCUUUCUAAGUCAGGGGUGAAAUCCCGGAGCUCAACUCCGGAACUGCCUUUGAUACUGGAGAGCUUGAGUUCGGGAGAGGUGAGUGGAACUGCGAGUGUAGAGGUGAAAUUCGUAGAUAUUCGCAAGAACACCAGUGGCGAAGGCGGCUCACUGGCCCGAUACUGACGCUGAGGUGCGAAAGCGUGGGGAGCAAACAGGAUUAGAAACCCCCGUAGUCC
This 273-nucleotide ribosomal RNA is filed under the name uncultured bacterium. RNAcentral describes it as "partial 16S ribosomal RNA". It matches the Rfam family "Bacterial small subunit ribosomal RNA", at positions 524 to 796 of the family's 1533-position model. The record is from RNAcentral.